UACCAUGCAAGUCGAACGGCAGCACGGACUUCGGUCUGGUGGCGAGUGGCGAACGGGUGAGUAAUGUAUCGGAACGUGCCCAGUAGCGGGGGAUAACUACGCGAAAGCGUAGCUAAUACCGCAUACGCCCUACGGGGGAAAGCAGGGGAUCGCAAGACCUUGCACUAUUGGAGCGGCCGAUAUCGGAUUAGCUAGUUGGUGGGGUAACGGCUCACCAAGGCGACGAUCCGUAGCUGGUUUGAGAGGACGACCAGCCACACUGGGACUGAGACACGGCCCAGACUCCUACGGGAGGCAGCAGUGGGGAAUUUUGGACAAUGGGGGAAACCCUGAUCCAGCCAUCCCGCGUGUGCGAUGAAGGCCUUCGGGUUGUAAAGCACUUUUGGCAGGAAAGAAACGUCGUGGGUUAAUACCCCGCGAAACUGACGGUACCUGCAGAAUAAGCACCGGCUAACUACGUGCCAGCAGCCGCGGUAAUACGUAGGGUGCAAGCGUUAAUCGGAAUUACUGGGCGUAAAGCGUGCGCAGGCGGUUCGGAAAGAAAGAUGUGAAAUCCCAGAGCUUAACUUUGGAACUGCAUUUUUAACUACCGAGCUAGAGUGUGUCAGAGGGAGGUGGAAUUCCGCGUGUAGCAGUGAAAUGCGUAAAUAUGCGGAGGAACACCGAUGGCGAAGGCAGCCUCCUGGGAUAACACUGACGCUCAUGCACGAAAGCGUGNGGAGCAAACAGGAUUAGAUACCCUGGUAGUCCACGCCC
This 756-nucleotide ribosomal RNA is filed under the name Achromobacter sp. IFC_YC18. RNAcentral describes it as "bacterial SSU rRNA". It matches the Rfam family "Bacterial small subunit ribosomal RNA", at positions 52 to 802 of the family's 1533-position model. The record is from RNAcentral. Lineage: Bacteria; Pseudomonadati; Pseudomonadota; Betaproteobacteria; Burkholderiales; Alcaligenaceae.